AGCAGAGUAGGGCUCUUGUACUGGAGCUCUGAAUGCAUUUCUUUCUCGAUUUCUUUUUUUAUCCUCUCACUACUUCCCACGUCCUGAGCUUGGACAGUGUCGGCAGCGGUGAGAGCCCAGGGCUCAGACCUCGAGCAGGCUGAGCGGCGAGGAGAAUGGGCCCCUACUUACAUUACCGGGGCAAGCGCGGGACCUGGAAUCAGUGGCUACUACAUCGGCAGAGGCGGCAUGUGUGAGAUUGUCAGCAUUUGAAGGAACCAGCGAGUGUGGCUUUAGGUGCCUAAUUAGAAGAUACUGAAAGCUUGGCUGUUGCAGAGGAUUUCAAACUGACAACAGCAGACUUUGGUAAAGAGUAAGGGAGAAGGAGGAUGUGUACGAUGAAAAUCGAACAAGGAAUUGUAAUCAACGCCAUCGAGUACACACCCCGAUCAGAACUCCAGGCUGAAUUUGCAACCAAAAUCAUCAAGGUCAAAUUCUCAAAGUCAUGGUUGCAGCAUUUUCUCCUCUUGUGAGUACGGAGAGUGGAAAGUUUAUCAGCACUCACAAUCCGGCAUCUCUCACAAGCAGGAAGUGACAGGGAAUGUGUGACCGAGAACUAUAAAUAGAAGGACAUCUCGCCACAUGACAGUUUUUAAUCCCUCAGGUGUUGGGAUCAACACUUCCAUUAGCCUCUCAAAAGUGAAUAUCACCAAGCCGUUUUCAUAUAUAUUGAAGAACAGAUGUCUCAACGUUGAAGCAGCAAGAAAGGUAAACUGCAUUGAUUCUGAAGAAGGGUCUGGGCCUGAAACAUCAGCCUUCCUGCUCCUCUGAUGCUGCUUGGCCUGCUGUGUUCAUCCAGCUCUACACCUUGUUAUCUCAAACUGCAUUGAUUGUUGGAAUGUAGAAACAGUGGGGAGCUGGUACAGUUGGGUCUCUGGAGUGUGGAGGUGGUUCUGACAGUGAUCCUACUGUCAGAUCUGGCCUGUGCAACUGGUACAUGUCCUCUAGAGCAAUAUUACGUGUAAGGAAGUUUUUUAAAUUCUUUUCUUUUUGUAGCGCCUGUAUUGGAGCCAGAAGGUUAUAUUCCUCAGUAAUGACAGUAUAUACCGUGGUAAUUAAAUACUGGUUUAAUUUCUGAACUGUUGAUGUAUUAUUAUAGCACACUUCUCAGUAAAAUUACAAUCCUGUAUCUUAUUCCAUUGUGUCAUAUCCACUUAUAUUUUGGAAGAUACCAGUAAUGUAGAUAGAGCCCAGUAGUAUAAGAAGACUCUUCAAUAACAUAGGAAGACUGCAGCAGUGUUAGAAGACUUAUCAAUAAUGUUGGAAGACUCCAGUAGUGUCAGAAGAUUCUGUAUAAAGAUUCUACUGGUGUAGGAACACUACGAACAGAAGGACCUACUCUGCUAUUGAGUUAAAAUGUAAUCCUUUGAAUCAGAUCUGCACCUCAACUUGAUCUUCCUGCCUUUUGCUUCAUAUCUCUUCACUAAACAGACGUUAUUGUGCCCCGCCACCUCAGCAAGCUCACCCUAUGGGUUGCAGACAAAUCACCACAAUGUGAUGUGAUAAUCGUCAACAAAGCAUCACAUUCGUUAAAGCAAAAGGAUGCCAAGACAAAUUCUACAUGGAUGUCAUUUGAAUGAUAAUUCACACUGACUCUGUCUCAUUGAAUCCCCAUUAAGUGCGAUCCCAUUCGAUUAAGGAAAUCAAUAAAACCUCAAAUGGUAACUUGUGUGCUCUUUUCAAAAAAAAAAUUGGUUCAAUCCAAAGCGAGUCCUAUUUCAAUUUAGAUAAUUAUAGUCCAGCAUGUAAAGAGCAUCACAACAGAUUGUAGGUAACUGAA
Rhincodon typus (whale shark) is the source of this 1819-nucleotide long non-coding RNA. RefSeq lists it as uncharacterized. The transcript has 5 exons. The record is from RefSeq and is a predicted model, not a curated record. Lineage: Eukaryota; Metazoa; Chordata; Chondrichthyes; Orectolobiformes; Rhincodontidae.